GAACUGUGCGAACGUUAUUCGGAAUCACUGGGCUUACAGGGUGCGUAGGCGGCGAUGCAAGUCAGGUGUGAAAGCCCACGGCUCAACCGUGGAACAGCGCUUGAAACUGCAUUGCUGGAGUGAGCUAGAGGUAUGCGGAACUUCCGGUGGAGCGGUGAAAUGUGUUGAUAUCGGAAGGAACACCAGAGGCGAAAGCGGCAUACUGGAGCUUGUCUGACGCUGAGGCACGAAAGCCAGGGGAGCAAACGGGAUUAGAUACCCCGGUAGUCCUGGCUGUAAACGAUCAGAACUGGACGGAUGAGGGUUCGCCCCCAUCGGUCGUAGCGAAAGCGUUAAGUUCUGCGCCUGGGGAGUAUGGUCGCAAGGCUGAA
RNAcentral lists this ribosomal RNA (371 nucleotides) under uncultured bacterium. RNAcentral describes it as "bacterial SSU rRNA". It matches the Rfam family "Bacterial small subunit ribosomal RNA", at positions 527 to 898 of the family's 1533-position model. The record is from RNAcentral.